ACCAUUGGCUCUUUCCCCCAGCCCGGUCUUUGUGACGUCAGCAAUCAGGAUGCCUUCUGUUGGCUAAGACGCACACUGCUGUCUGAAAUUUCCUCUUCUACACUCAAUCAUUACAGGUCCAGUGCAGAAAAAGUUCUGUAGUUUUCAUUCUGGCAAUGCGGCAAGAGGGGCUUUGAUGUCGAAAGGGUAUGGUUUAUGACAAUAGGUUACGGUGAGUCUUUCGGGCUGCAUGGCCAUGUUCCAGGCUGUAUUCUCUCCUGAUGUUUCGCCCACAUCUGAGGCAGGCAUCCUCAGAGGUUGUGAGGCGUGAAGAUCACUGCAGAGGCAGACUGUAGCCAGGAAAUCAGAAGACGUUUACUUCUUGGGAGGAGAGCAAUGGCCAACCUCGAUAAAAUAGUGAAGAGCAGAGACAUCACACUGGCAACGAAGGUCCGCAUAGUCAAAGCAAUGGUAUUUCCCAUAGUAACCGAAGGUUGCGAGAGCUGGACCAUAAGGCUGAGCGAAGGAAGAUAGACGCUUUUGAACUUUGGUGCUGGAGGAAAAUCCUGAGAGUUCCUUGGACCGCAAGAAGAUCCAACCAGUCCAUCCGCCAGGAAAUAAUGCCUGGCUGCUCACUGGAGGGAAGGAUAUUAGAGGCAAAGAUGAAGUAUUUUGGCCACAUCAUGAGAAGACAGGAAAGCUUGGAAAAGAUCAUGAUGCUGGAGAAAAUGGAAGGAAAAAAGGAAGAGAGGCCAACCAAGGGCACGAUGGAUGGAUGGGAUCUUUGAAAUGACUGGCUUGACCUUGAAGGAACUGGGGGCGGCGACGGCCGACAGGGAGCUCUGGCGUGGACUGGUCCAUGAGGUUACGAAGAGUAGGAAAUGACUGUAUGAAGGAAGUAGUAUUGAGGUGAGGUGGACAGAAUCACUGCUUAUCAAUUUGUGGACACACAUCACAUUCCCUAGGGUCUCUUUCAUUUUGCCCAUCUAUCAUCCAGUCGGGGUGUAUUGAAGAUCUAUGAUUUAUUUACUUCCAAGUGUUGUGAAACCUUCGUGUAAGUACUCCGAGUAUUUUUUGCUUACAAAAACCCUAUGAAAUUCAGAAGAUCAAUGUUAAGUCAACAGGCAACUAGAAGGCAUGCAUGUGUGUGCACGCACAAACGGCUUUAAAAGCUAAUUUGCAGAUUCACCUGAUCUUGUUUGAUGACUGGUGCUUGAAAUUAUGCAACAAUUGUACUGCAGAUUUUUGCAUCUUAUGUGUUAUGAAAGCACUACCUGCAGUGGUGUGUGUGUGGUCAUCCAUUCUUACUAGAAACUCAUAAUAAUUUGAAGCUGAGAUUGAAAGGCGAUGAGAUGAGAACUACCAAUUAUUACUAUUAUUUAUAUUAAUGGAAUGCCUUCUAUAUGAUGCACAUCUCCUAAAAUUCAUUUUCUCCAGUAACCCACAGAAGUCAAAACCUUACCCAACUGAAAUGUUUUGAUACAUACCUUCAUGAUCCUCUGAAGAUGCCAGGCACAGAUGCAGGUGAAAUGUCAGGAGAAAAUGCUGCUAGAACACGGCUAUAAAGCCAAGAAACCACAUUCCAGUGAUUUUGGCCGUGAAAGCCUUCACCAAUACAUACUUUAAUUGUUUAUGGACAUCAAAAGAGGAAAAUAAGAAAAAACCCCCCACUAUAAAUGGGGUUGUUGUAAGUUUUCCGGGCUGUAUGGCCAUGUUCCAGAAGUAUUCUCUCUUGACGUUUCGCCCACAUCUAUGGCAGGCAUCCUCAGAGGUUGUGAGGAUGCCUGCCAUAGAUGUGGGCAAAACAUCAGGAGAGAAUACUUCUGGAACAUGGCCAUACAGCUCGGAAAGCAUACAACAACUCUGUGAUCCCGGUCAUGAAAGCCUUAGACAACCCACCAUAAAUGGUUUGAUACCUCCUGCUAUGAAGGAUCCAGUGGUCCUUCUGUCAAGAUGGCAUCUGAAAUUAUCCAUUUUUCCAAAGAUGUGGGGAAAAAAUAACAUACAUUCUAGUUGAAGAGAAAAUUGACAUUUGCUAAUGCUAUGGGAAAUGGGGAAAAUGAUAAUCUAGGUGCACAGGAAUGAUGUGUGUGACACAUGAAAGCAUGAGAUUGCAUGGGCCAUUCAAUCCAACCCCCUGCUAUGCAGGAAAAGCAUAAUCAAAGCAUUCCCAACAGAUGGUCACCCAGCCCCUGCUUAAAAACCUCCAAGGAAGGAGCUUCCAUCUCACUCUGAGGCAAGAGUUCCACUGUUGAACAGCUUGUAUGGUCAGGAAGUUUUUCCUAAAGUUCAGAUGGAAUCUCCUUUCCUGCCAUUUGAACCCAUCACUCUGAGUCCUAGUCUCCAGGGCAGCAGAAAACAAGCCUGCUCCUUCUUCCUUAUGACAGCCUUUCAAAUAUAUAUGGUUAUCAUGUCUCCUUUCAACCUUCUCUUUUGCAGGCUAAGCAUCCCUAGCUCUUUAAUAAAUAAUUACAUUCAAAAUACAAAAAUGAGACAUACUAAGCUCACUGCAAUUAAGCCCCAAUCACAUACCUGCUUCUUUCAAAUAGUUUCCUACACUGCCAUGUAUGUGAAAAAUGGGAAAAUGUCAAAGAGAAGUGAAGCUCCUUAAUAAUGGUGAAGAGAAAACAAAGCCAAAAUUUUGGUUAUGUGAGAUUCUGUUCAUUUAUUGAAUACAUACGUGAUUGAUCAGACAAACAAUGAAAAAUCACAUGAAUAUAUAUCUUAAAAAUUACAAUAAAUUAUUGAAGAAUUAGUAAAAAUGAAUGUUUCUACUCUCCACGUUCCAGGUGCAUGGCUAAGGAGGCAGACACUUAAACACAGAGAAUAUACCACAACAUUGGAGUAACACUGUGUAUUGCAUCAAGUGAUGUAUCCCCUUGUAUAAAUCUCCUUAAGUUCUUCAGACUUUCCUCUUUCUGAAUUGCCAAUGCGAUUCACACUCCUGCAACAGACACACUUCGGCAUUCACACAAUUUUGAUUAAGCUCAUGUGACUGGACAACAUACUUGUGUAAUGAACAUGUGUACAAAUAUAAACAAAUAUAAUAGUGCUUCUUGAGAAUUAAUGCCUUCCCAUAGGGAGGUUACCUAUCUCAAAAUGGAGCAUUACUUUUCCUCUGGUCCACAAGUGAUUUGUAGAUGGCUGAUCCUGUAACUGUACACUCUAUACUGCCAGAGCAAAAUGUAGUUUAAACAUCACAUCAUGUUAAAAUAGGUUACAGAAACUGUUUUGAAUUGUAGUACAACAGCAAGGUCCCUAUCAUGUGCAAGAGCUGGGUCAUGAUAUAUUAGUGAUUCAGGUAAACAGGACAAAGAACCAAGCACUCCCUUCCCCACAAUUGUGCCUUCACCUAUGUUAGAGGUAUGGCUAAGUUUAGCACAGUAAUAUGAACUUCUGACCAUAGGGAGAAAUGGAUCAAUCAAGCAGCAUAAGUUAGUUAAUGAUAACUAGCUUACAGGAAUAUUGGAUCAGGGCUUGCUCAUUACAAAUAACUUCAUGAAAUUCAAAAUGGCUAACUUAGGAGAUUGUGUACUGUAUGAAUGUGAGAAGGAAGUAAUCUAAUGUUUAAAAGCAGCAUGACUUAGUAGCAUUUCAUGAUUCUCAGGAUAGUACCAUUCACCCCAACCUCCAUGGCUGCUAAAUCUUAAUCCUCAUUUCUUUCUGGGAAAUUAAAAAUAAACACAUGGCACUAAAGAAUUAAAAACUGAUCUAAAAGAUAUUAAUGUGCAUCUUUCUUCAGAGACUGAAAUCCACAUGCUACCGCAAUAGUAAAUCACUUGCAACAAACACCAGCAGUCCCAAUAUACUAGCAUAUAUUCUAGGUGCAGGAUGCCAAGAGUAAGAGAAUAUAACAUCUUUACAUUUGACAAGUUACUGCAUAGCAUCUACAUUCCUAACAAGACACUCUUAGGCAAGGCUGGGGACUGCUACCGCAUUUGGAUACACUGCAUUUGAUGCAUUAGGUCACAAGGAGGCAGCCAAGGACAUAGAGGAAGGAACUGAAGCUAGGCUGCAUUUCUUGUGAACAAUUACAAAGGAAGUAAAACAAAAGAAAACGUAGCAUAGUUUGACUGAAAUCAAGCUUCAUUAAAGAAAGAUAGGUAGAGGCACACAUGCAUAAUUUACUAAGGUAAUUCUAGGCCAGAGAGGCUAUUAGGUUUUAGGCUUUCAUGCUUUUGAGGAUGUAAUGUAAACUUGACAAGCAAGGUGUCCCCUGGGGAGAUAUCUAUAUCAAAGAAUGGCUGUGAUGAGCCCCUUACUCAGCUGAAUCUACUUGCAUUGAUGGGGAGUUAUAGGUGCUGAUAAAAACAAAAACAAAGUAAGUGUCCAACCAUCAACGACGGCUGUUUUUUUUUUUUUUGGAUCAACCACUUCUAAUACUCCAGCCUGGCUUUAUUUCCCUGACAUCAGCCUGACACCGAGGAAAGUUCAUAAUCACUGGAUGAGCUGAACUGUCUCUCCACCUUUUUUUGUUCUUUGAUCUUCUGCGUAAUGUCAACUUUCUUCUCAAAGUAGUUCACCAGGACGGUCUCUGUAAGCAUGGAGGCUAGGAUCUGUUCAAAGGAGAUGGACCAGUCUGUGUCAAUGGUGCUGCCAUAUCGUGCUGCCGAGCUGCCAGCCUCGCAGCCCACCAGCACGGUGUCAUCCGCGAUGUCUUCGCAUUGGAGUGAACCGGUGCUGACCAUGGAGUAUGAAGACAUGGACAUAUCGUCUUUUGUUUCGUCAUCUGAAAAAAGCUGCACAGGAGAUCCAGAGCCUUCGCCACCACCGCCAUCUACAAAAAUCUGGUUUUCCUGCUGGUUUUUGUCCACCUGAGUAUCUCCAGAUGCUUUAUCUUCUGGGGCAGCUUGGGAAUACCGCUCCACAGUUGAGUUUUGGCUCUGAUCAGAUGUUGGAGACUCUUCUUCACUUACUGGGUCUUGGGCUCUAUUUGCUUUGAUAUCAUCGCCUGCCUUUUUCGUUGGCUGGUGGGAGAACUUUUUUCCCACCUCCCCAAUGCGCAGGAGGAGGCUAGCAACCGUGGCAAUGGCAUGAUACAAUUCUUGCUCCACCGGGUCUUCACUGAACAUGUUGUAAAGGGUCUUGCACAACUCUAUAAAUUGCUCCUUAAAAGAAGAAGUAUACAUAACAGUAACUGCUUAGGUGCAAAAUCUUCAAACUGAUAAUUAUACAAAAUGAUAAGAUAAUCAAUGGGGAAUUUAAUGGGCAUCAUUUUUGAUCAUCUCAAUUACACUCAAGACAGAUUAUACGGCAGAUAAUACAAUGAAGGACACUACCAUUUGCCACCAUUUAAAGCCAUCAUUAACAACCUAACUGUGCAUUAAAGUUUAACCAACUUGAUCAAACUUUUGAGAGCUGGAAAAUGAUUAUCUGUGGAUGUGGAUGAAUGACGCGUAAAUGUCACUUCCUAAUUGGUUCUAUCAUAAAAAAAUAUGGAAAAAUUUAUUAAACUGCAGAAACUUUGUUUUUGCAGGACAUUCUGCAGCACAUUUUGUUAUUGUUUUUCAAUAAAUAUCGAGUAUCAUCCAAUUCUACAGAGUUUGUGGCAGCCACAAAAAUGAAGUUUCUGGAGUGCAACAACUACUUUCAAAGAGUUAUCAGAAUUGAGAAAUGGUGAAGGAGAGCUGGAAAAAUAGACUUUUGAUAUCAAGUUGCAACAAAGCAGAUUCAUAGUUUGACCACCAAGAUGGAAAAGUGGAGAGUGGUAAAAGAAAACAUCACCUCUAGAAGGUUCAAAAUGCUUUUCUUUACUUAUACAAAAUAUACCCGACUUAUUUUUUUUUUAUUUCACAUGUGCAUAUUGUUACUUUUUAAUAAAAAGUCAGUUGAAACACACUGAACUACUUUU
Anolis carolinensis (green anole) is the source of this 5830-nucleotide long non-coding RNA. RefSeq lists it as uncharacterized. The transcript is spliced from 3 exons. The record is from RefSeq and is a predicted model, not a curated record. Lineage: Eukaryota; Metazoa; Chordata; Lepidosauria; Squamata; Anolidae.